GGGUGAAAUGAGGAUUAAAUAAUUAUUGAAGGACGGUAUGAUGUCCGUUGAAUCAUGUAUUAGCUCUAUCUGAUCAUUC
Hordeum vulgare subsp. vulgare (domesticated barley) is the source of this 79-nucleotide non-coding RNA. Lineage: Eukaryota; Viridiplantae; Streptophyta; Magnoliopsida; Poales; Poaceae. The record is from Rfam.